This is a microRNA precursor of Cercocebus atys (sooty mangabey), 60 nucleotides long. NCBI's taxonomy places the organism in Eukaryota, Metazoa, Chordata, Mammalia, Primates, Cercopithecidae. The record is from Ensembl.
GGCUGGGUGCUCUCGUUCAGUGAGCAACCUGCACAACUGCACAUGGCAACCUAGCUCCCA